Molecule: ribosomal RNA, 383 nt
Filed under: uncultured eukaryote
Lineage: Eukaryota
Description: partial 18S ribosomal RNA
Rfam family: Eukaryotic small subunit ribosomal RNA
Source: RNAcentral
CAAUAGCGUAUAUUAAAGUUGUUGCAGUUAAAAAGCUCGUAGUUGGAUUUCUGGUGGGAGCGAUCGGUCUGGCGCUUAGCGCGAGUACUUGCAUCGUCUCCGGCCAUCCUUGGGGAGAGUCUGUCUGGCAUUAGGUUGUCGGGCAGAGGAUCCUCAUCGUUUACUGUGAAAAAAUUAGAGUGUUCAAAGCAGGCUUAUGCCGUUGAAUAUAUUAGCAUGGAAUAAUAAGAUAGGACUUUGGUACUAUUUUGUUGGUUUGCGCACCAAAGUAAUGAUUAAUAGGGACAGUUGGGGGUAUUCGUAUUCCGUUGUCAGAGGGGAAAUUCUUGGAUUUACGGAAGACGAACUACUGCGAAAGCAUUUACCAAGGAUGUUUUCAUUAA